Molecule: ribosomal RNA, 468 nt
Filed under: uncultured bacterium
Lineage: Bacteria
Description: partial 16S ribosomal RNA
Rfam family: Bacterial small subunit ribosomal RNA
Source: RNAcentral
GACGAGCGCUGGCGGCGUGCUUAACACAUGCAAGUCGAACGGAAAGGCCCUGCUUUUGUGGGGUGCUCGAGUGGCGAACGGGUGAGUAACACGUGAGUAACCUGCCCUUGACUUUGGGAUAACUUCAGGAAACUGGGGCUAAUACCGGAUAGGAGCUCCUGCUGCAUGGUGGGGGUUGGAAAGUUUCGGCGGUUGGGGAUGGACUCGCGGCUUAUCAGCUUGUUGGUGGGGUAGUGGCUUACCAAGGCUUUGACGGGUAGCCGGCCUGAGAGGGUGACCGGCCACAUUGGGACUGAGAUACGGCCCAGACUCCUACGGGAGGCACCAGUGGGGAAUAUUGCACAAUGGGCGGAAGCCUGAUGCAGCAACGCCGCGUGCGGGAUGACGGCCUUCGGGUUGUAAACCGCUUUCGCCUGUGACGAAGCGUGAGUGACGGUAAUGGGUAAAGAAGCACCGGCUAACUACGUG